Molecule: ribosomal RNA, 252 nt
Filed under: uncultured bacterium
Lineage: Bacteria
Description: partial 16S ribosomal RNA
Rfam family: Archaeal small subunit ribosomal RNA
Source: RNAcentral
UACCAGCACCCCGAGUGGUCGGGACGUUUAUUGGGCCUAAAGCAUCCGUAGCCGGUUCUACAAGUCUUCCGUUAAAUCCAGCUGCUUAACAGAUGGGCUGCGGAAGAUACUAUGGAGCUAGGAGGCGGGAGAGGCAAGCGGUACUCGAUGGGUAGGGGUAAAAUCCGUUGAUCCAUUGAAGACCACCAGUGGCGGAGGCGGCUUGCCAGAACGCGCUCGACGGUGAGGGAUGAAAGCUGGGGAGCAAACCGG